CCUACGUGAGGCAGCAGUGAGGAAUAUUGGUCAAUGGACGAGAGUCUGAACCAGCCAAGUAGCGUGAAGGAUGACUGCCCUAUGGGUUGUAAACUUCUUUUAUAAAGGAAUAAAACGAGGCACGUGUGCCUUUUUGCAUGUACUUUAUGAAUAAGGAUCGGCUAACUCCGUGCAAGCAGCCGCGGUAAUACGGAGGAUCCGAGCGUUAUCCGGAUUUAUUGGGUUUAAAGGGAGCGUAGAUGGGUUGUUAAGUCAGUUGUGAAAGUUUGCGGCUCAACCGUAAAAUUGCAAUUGAAACUGGCAGUCUUGAGUACAGUAGAGGUGGGCGGAAUUCGUGGUGUAGCGGUGAAAUGCUUAGAUAUCACGAAGAACUCCGAUUGCGAAGGCAGUUCACUGGACUGCAACUGACGCUGAGGCACGAAAGCGUGGGGAUCGAACAGGAUUAGAUACCCCGGUAGUC
Molecule: ribosomal RNA, 460 nt
Filed under: uncultured bacterium
Lineage: Bacteria
Description: partial 16S ribosomal RNA
Rfam family: Bacterial small subunit ribosomal RNA
Source: RNAcentral